GCUGGGUGUAUUGGCGUGCACCCGUGGUCCUAACUACUUGGGAGGCUGAGGCAGGAGUAUCACUGGAGCCCAGGAGUUUGAGGCUGCAGUGAGCUAUGACGUGCCACUGCACUCUAGCCUGGGUGACAGAGUGAGAUGCUGUCUCUU
Unclassified non-coding RNA from Pongo abelii (Sumatran orangutan), 147 nucleotides. It matches the Rfam family "Metazoan signal recognition particle RNA". From Rfam's summary of the family: The signal recognition particle (SRP) is a universally conserved ribonucleoprotein. Lineage: Eukaryota; Metazoa; Chordata; Mammalia; Primates; Hominidae. The record is from Ensembl.